Molecule: transfer RNA, 74 nt
Filed under: Phycisphaerales bacterium
Lineage: Bacteria; Pseudomonadati; Planctomycetota; Phycisphaerae; Phycisphaerales
Description: tRNA-Asp
Rfam family: tRNA
About the family: Transfer RNA (tRNA) molecules are approximately 80 nucleotides in length. Their secondary structure includes four short double-helical elements and three loops (D, anti-codon, and T loops).
Source: RNAcentral
GGUCCCGUAGCUCAACUGGCCAGAGCAACCGCCUGUCGCGCGGAAGGUCACCGGUUCGAAUCCGGUCGGGACCG